UCCAGUCAGACGGCGGAAGGUUCCGGGGUAAUACCGGGAUUAAUAGGGAACCGGGUGCGAAUCCCGGACAGACGCGCUACUGUAAGUCCCGCGCAGUUUUCUCCACCUGAAGUCCAUUGGCCGGCGCCCAUGCCGGCUGAGAAGGACGGGGAAAACGGGACAAGUCAGGAGACCUGCCUUCCGCUGCAUUGAUGA
Molecule: non-coding RNA, 195 nt
Filed under: Hymenobacter sp. APR13
Lineage: Bacteria; Pseudomonadati; Bacteroidota; Cytophagia; Cytophagales; Hymenobacteraceae
Also listed under: 1 other name
Source: RNAcentral